CACUGCCGAGAAAAGCCUCUAGAUAGAAAAUAGGUGCCCGUACCGCAAACCGACACAGGUAGUCAAGAUGAGAAUUCUAAGGUGAGCGAGCGAACUCUCGUUAAGGAACUCGGCAAAAUGACCCCGUAACUUCGGGAGAAGGGGUGCUCUUUAGGGUUAACGCCCAGAAGAGCCGCAGUGAAUAGGCCCAAGCGACUGUUUAUCAAAAACACAGGUCUCUGCUAAACCGUAAGGUGAUGUAUAGGGGCUGACGCCUGCCCGGUGCUGGAAGGUUAAGAGGAGUGGUUAGCUUCUGCGAAGCUACGAAUCGAAGCCCCAGUAAACGGCGGCCGUAACUAUAACGGUCCUAAGGUAGCGAAAUUCCUUGUCGGGUAAGUUCCGACCCGCACGAAAGGCGUAACGAUUUGGGCACUGUCUCAACGAGAGACUCGGUGAAAUCAUAGUACCUGUGAAGAUGCAGGUUACCCGCGACAGGACGGAAAGA
RNAcentral lists this ribosomal RNA (484 nucleotides) under Staphylococcus aureus. RNAcentral's name for it is "partial 23S ribosomal RNA". It matches the Rfam family "Bacterial large subunit ribosomal RNA", at positions 1603 to 2088 of the family's 2925-position model. Lineage: Bacteria; Bacillati; Bacillota; Bacilli; Caryophanales; Staphylococcaceae. The record is from RNAcentral.